AAAAUACUCCCUUCAUCCAAAAAUACUUAUCCUCAAAAUGGACAAAAAGGGAUGUAUCUAGAACUAAAAUAUAUCUAGAAACAUCCCCUUUUAUUCAUUUUGAUGACAAGUAUUUCCGGACGGAGGAGUACUAC
Triticum aestivum (bread wheat) is the source of this 134-nucleotide non-coding RNA. The record is from Rfam. NCBI's taxonomy places the organism in Eukaryota, Viridiplantae, Streptophyta, Magnoliopsida, Poales, Poaceae.